CCUACGGGAGGCAGCAGUAGGGAAUUUUCGUCAAUGGGCGCAAGCCUGAACGAGCGAUGCCGCGUGAGUGAAGAAGGCCUUCGGGUCGUAAAGCUCUGUUGCGGGGGAAAAAAGGCAGCAUCAGGAAAUGGGUGCUGACUGAUGGUGCCCCGCCAGAAAGUCACGGCUAACUACGUGCCAGCAGCCGCGGUAAUACGUAGGUGGCGGGCGUUAUCCGGAAGGAUUGGGCGUAAAGGGUGCGCAGGCGGUCCUGCAAGUCUGGAGUGAAACGCAUGAGCUCAACUCAUGCAUGGCUUUGGAAACUGGAGGACUGGAGAGCAGGCGAGGGCGGUGGAACUCCAUGUGUAGCGGUAAAAUGCGUAGAUAUAUGGAAGAACACCAGUGGCGAAGGCGGCCGCCUGGCCUGUUGCUGACGCUGAGGCACGAAAGCGUGGGGAGCAAAUAGGAUUAGAUACCCCUGUAGUC
This 465-nucleotide ribosomal RNA is filed under the name uncultured bacterium. Its description in RNAcentral is "partial 16S ribosomal RNA". It matches the Rfam family "Bacterial small subunit ribosomal RNA", at positions 338 to 795 of the family's 1533-position model. The record is from RNAcentral.